GUACUUGCUUCAACAUCACAUAUACUAAAAUUGGAACAAUACAGAGAAGAUUAGCAUGGACCCUGUGUAGGAAAAAAACUUGACAGCAAACAGCUAACCUACUCUU
This 106-nucleotide small nuclear RNA is filed under the name Salvator merianae (Argentine black and white tegu). Lineage: Eukaryota; Metazoa; Chordata; Lepidosauria; Squamata; Teiidae. The record is from RNAcentral.